GUAGGUGGCAAGCGUUGUCCGGGAAUUAUUGGGGCGUAAAGCGCGCGCAGGCGGUUUUUUAAGUCUGAUGUGAAAGCCCACGGGCUCAACCGUGGAGGGUCAUUGGAAACUGGAGAACUUGAGUACAGAAGAGGAAAGCGGAAUUCCACGUGUAGCGGUGAAAUGCGUAGAGAUGUGGAGGAACACCAGUGGCGAAGGCGGCUUUCUGGUCUGUAACUGACGCUGAGGCGACGAAAGCGGUGGGGAGCAAACAGGAUUAGACUACCCUGGUAGUCCACGACCGUAAACGAUGAGUGCUAAGUGUAGGGGUUUCCGCCCCUUAGUGCUGCAGCUAACGCAUUAAGCACUCCGCCUGGGGAGUACGGCCGCAAAGGCUGA
Molecule: ribosomal RNA, 378 nt
Filed under: uncultured organism
Description: partial 16S ribosomal RNA
Rfam family: Bacterial small subunit ribosomal RNA
Source: RNAcentral